GCAGAUGUGGCGGAAUGGCAGACGCGCUAGCUUCAGGUGCUAGUGCUCGCAAGGGCGUGAGGGUUCAAGUCCCUCCAUCUGCACCA
Molecule: transfer RNA, 86 nt
Filed under: Butyricicoccus pullicaecorum
Lineage: Bacteria; Bacillati; Bacillota; Clostridia; Eubacteriales; Butyricicoccaceae
Also listed under: 4 other names
Description: tRNA-Leu
Rfam family: tRNA
About the family: Transfer RNA (tRNA) molecules are approximately 80 nucleotides in length. Their secondary structure includes four short double-helical elements and three loops (D, anti-codon, and T loops). Further hydrogen bonds mediate the characteristic L-shaped molecular structure. tRNAs have two regions of fundamental functional importance: the anti-codon, which is responsible for specific mRNA codon recognition, and the 3' end, to which the tRNAs corresponding amino acid is attached (by aminoacyl-tRNA synthetases). tRNAs cope with the degeneracy of the genetic code in two manners: having more than one tRNA (with a specific anti-codon) for a particular amino acid; and 'wobble' base-pairing, i.e. permitting non-standard base-pairing at the 3rd anti-codon position.
Source: RNAcentral